RNAcentral lists this ribosomal RNA (757 nucleotides) under uncultured bacterium. RNAcentral describes it as "bacterial SSU rRNA". It matches the Rfam family "Bacterial small subunit ribosomal RNA", at positions 8 to 796 of the family's 1533-position model. The record is from RNAcentral.
AGAGUUUGAUCAUGGCUCAGAAUCAACGCUGGCGGCGUGCCUAACACAUGCAAGUCGAGCGAGAAAGUGGUAGCAAUACCAUGAGUACAGCGGCGCACGGGUGAGUAACACGUGACUAACCUACCCUCGAGUGGGGAAUAACUUCGGGAAACCGAGGCUAAUACCGCAUAAUACCCACGGGUCAAAGAAGCAAUUCGCUUGAGGAGGGGGUCGCGGCCGAUUAGUUAGUUGGCGGGGUAAUGGCCCACCAAGACGAUGAUCGGUAUCCGGCCUGAGAGGGCGCACGGACACACUGGAACUGAAACACGGUCCAGACUCCUACGGGAGGCAGCAGUGGGGAAUUUUGCGCAAUGGGGGAAACCCUGACGCAGCAACGCCGCGUGGAGGAUGAAGUCCUUCGGGACGUAAACUCCUUUCGAUCGGGACGAUUAUGACGGUACCGGAAGAAGAAGCCCCGGCUAACUUCGUGCCAGCAGCCGCGGUAAUACGAGGGGGGCGAGCGUUGUUCGGAAUUAUUGGGCGUAAAGGGUGCGUAGGCGGUUUGGUAAGUCUCGUGUGAAAUCUCUGGGCUCAACUCAGAGUCUGCACGAGAAACUGCCGGGCUUGAGUGUGGGAGAGGUGAGUGGAAUUUCCGGUGUAGCGGUGAAAUGCGUAGAUAUCGGAAGGAACACCUGUGGCGAAAGCGGCUCACUGGCCACAACUGACGCUGAUGCACGAAAGCUAGGGGAGCAAACAGGAUUAGAUACCCUAGUAGUCC